RNAcentral lists this transfer RNA (72 nucleotides) under Anaerolineae bacterium. Its description in RNAcentral is "tRNA-Gly". It matches the Rfam family "tRNA". Rfam says of the family: Transfer RNA (tRNA) molecules are approximately 80 nucleotides in length. Their secondary structure includes four short double-helical elements and three loops (D, anti-codon, and T loops). The record is from RNAcentral. Lineage: Bacteria; Bacillati; Chloroflexota; Anaerolineae.
GCGGGGGUAAUUCAAGGGUAGAAUGCCACCCUUCCAAGGUGGACGUUGCGGGUUCGAAUCCCGUCCCCCGCU